UGAAUCCCCCAACUUUUCAUGGUUUCCUUACUUAGAGACACUGGAUCUUGGAAAUUGUUCUAGAAUGGUUAAUUUACACAAAUCCAUUGGUGAUCUAAAGUCCUUGGUUACGCUUUCCUUGGAUCUGUACAAAAAUUGAAGAACUCCCA
Telopea speciosissima is the source of this 149-nucleotide long non-coding RNA. RefSeq lists it as uncharacterized. The record is from RefSeq and is a predicted model, not a curated record. Lineage: Eukaryota; Viridiplantae; Streptophyta; Magnoliopsida; Proteales; Proteaceae. The transcript has 3 exons.